This 478-nucleotide ribosomal RNA is filed under the name uncultured bacterium. Its description in RNAcentral is "partial 16S ribosomal RNA". It matches the Rfam family "Bacterial small subunit ribosomal RNA", at positions 28 to 523 of the family's 1533-position model. The record is from RNAcentral.
GACGAAUGCUGGCGGCGUGCUUAACACAUGCAAGUCGAACGGUAAGGCCCUUCGGGGUACACGAGUGGCGAACGGGUGAGUAACACGUGGGUGAUCUGCCCUGCACUUCGGGAUAAGCCUGGGAAACUGGGUCUAAUACCGGAUAGGACCACUGCCUGCAUGGGUGGUGGUGGAAAGCUUUUGCGGUGUGGGAUGGGCCCGCGGCCUAUCAGCUAGUUGGUGGGGUGAUGGCCUACCAAGGCGACGACGGGUAGCCGGCCUGAGAGGGUGACCGGACACACUGGGAAUGAGAUACGGCCCAGACUCCUACGGCAGGCAGCAGGGGGGAAUAUUGCACAAUGGGCGCAAGCCUGAUGCAGCGACGCCGCGUGAGGGAUGACGGCCUUCGGGUUGUAAACCUCUUUCAGCACCGACGAAGCGCAAGUGACGGUAGGUGCAGAAGAAGGACCGGCCAACUACGUGCCAGCAGCCGCGGUAA